Rattus norvegicus (Norway rat) is the source of this 132-nucleotide small nucleolar RNA. Ensembl annotates it as small nucleolar RNA SNORA17. The record is from Ensembl. NCBI's taxonomy places the organism in Eukaryota, Metazoa, Chordata, Mammalia, Rodentia, Muridae.
CAUGCCCCUUAGAGGUAUUAUAUGUUCGACUACUGUGUCAUAUGUGCCUCAGUGGGUAGCAGAAAGGAAAGAGGCUAUGUCUAUGCUCAGUGUUCUGACCUGUGAACACCUGAAUGAUUGUAGUCUAAUACU